Sceloporus undulatus (fence lizard) is the source of this 1803-nucleotide long non-coding RNA. RefSeq lists it as uncharacterized. The transcript is spliced from 2 exons. The record is from RefSeq and is a predicted model, not a curated record. NCBI's taxonomy places the organism in Eukaryota, Metazoa, Chordata, Lepidosauria, Squamata, Phrynosomatidae.
UGCCUGGGAAAGCUUCUCUGAACAAAAUGGUCUUCAACUCCAUUUUGAAGCUGGUUAAAAUUUUAUCAGCUAAAACAGGAGUGGAAUUCAUGUAGUCUUCCAGACUACGACUUCCAGCAUUCUUCACCACAGACUGUGAUUGCUAGAACUGCUGGGAUUUAUAAUCCAACAAAAUCUGAAGGUCUGCAGGACCCUCCCUUGACCUAAAGACAGUUGAUACCUCAUUGUUACAAAAAGAAGAAAGACUGGAUGUCUCGGCUUCAGACUUUCUGGGAAAGGAGACCUCAGAAUACUUCAGUACCUAAUUCCUCUCCUGAUGGCUUCUGUGGGGGCGCAGGUUAUGGUAUCAAUGCAGUCUGUUCUACGGUAUUGUUUAUUAUCCAAGAACCAGCCAGAGUCUGCAAGGCCACGGACCUGAAUCCCAGGAUAUCCCAUCUGUUCCAGCUGUUCAGCCACUCGGUCCACAUUCAAGAGCACCCCUGUUCCACCAGCACUGCAAGGAUAACAUCAGUUUUUCAGUGACAUGGACAACAUAACUGCCGUACUAUUCAAUACUAAUUACAGUAGGACUAUGAAGCUCUAAAUGUCUGACAUACUGUUCUGAAAAUCUGAAUUCAUGGAGCAUUCUAUACUGUCCUGUGCUACCAGAUUUUGGUGGACUGCAUUCUUUUUAUCCAAAUUCCUGAUUAAACACAUAUUGUCUACUCUAAAAAUAUUCCAGGUAUGUGAAGUUCCACACAAGACACUCAAGCACAUUCAUUUGUUAAAUGAUAUGACAUGAGAGAGUGCCACAAUGUUAAGGAAUUGAAAGUAUGUUAAUGACUCCAGUUCUUGAGAGCUUCAUGGUUCUUGCAUCCAUUCCAACUCUAGAAUUCCAUUCAAGGAAAGGUAAAACCUUCUACUCUAGAUGCUUGAAGGAAAAACCAAUGGUCAUCAAAAGAUCAUGCUUUAAACUAAGCACCUGUGCCACCUGCUGGACAAAGGGUGAGGGGAGGAAACUUCACACCAAAGCUUUGUCAUUUCAAAAUGUAAAAAACAAUUAAAUCCUGCUUGAUAUCAUAGCUUUAACUUUAGACAUCUGUGGCCCCUCACAUGGAAGCCUCCUUUUCUAGGAACCAUCACUACUGUACACACACACACACACACACAGAGUUUAAUGUCAGCAGCCAGGGUGAAUUCUACUGUCAAAUUUGCAGAUUUUUCCCUUUUUUCUCAAAACAACAAUACUGCUUCCCAGUGUUGGUGUUUACCUAUCAAGUCUCAAAUGGCCUGGGUCUCAGGUAACUGAAGAACUGCCUUCUAUCUCAUAUGCUUGUCUAAGGGCACAUCCCAAAUGAUGAAAAAGACCAGGAGUUCCCAGAUUUUGUUUCUGUUCUUUUCAAUUUUAUUUUGGAGAUCCAUACAUAUUUCAUUUAUUCCAGAAUGUAGUAUUUUCUGUCAACUGUUGGUAUGAUCAGAUACUUUUUUAUACCAGCUUGCAAAAUUGGAAAGAACAGAAACAAAAUCUGGGACUUUUCAAACAAACUGGAUGUGCCCUGAACUUUGAGUCUGUCAUCCAAAGCUCUUCUCCGUGUUUUCCUAACUGAAAUUGGAGUAGGAGGUGGCAAGGAACUUUAAUAGAGAUGGUCCCCCAUCUGUGGAAUGCACUCCCCAAAGUGUGACACCUAUGGACAAUUUUCAUGUCACUAUUCUGCAUGGGUCUAUGUGUCUGAAGGGGUAUUUUUAUUUGCCUGGGCAAUUUUGUAUGUAAAAUAUAUGAGCUUUAUUCUAUCUGUAUAAAUUACACAAAGAUUUAUUACUGCU